UUGCAAGCUUAUUUGAAAAUCAAUCUCAUUGUUGUCUCUCCUUCUUGUGUUGUUAAUGAAUGUUUUAGGUGUUUGAACCUGACAUUUAAUUGGUCCUUCGAGCCGGAUCCCAACAUACAGGAGGAUUUCCUCUGGGUGAGGUGAACCGGGUGAAAAGUCAGUGAUCACUGCAUUCAGAUCCUUUUCCAAGGGCCUAGUCCAUCUCGCCUCUGGGUUUCUGACUGUUGACGGGAAGUCCGAGGGAGGUUUGACAGCAGUGGUGAGUGGAUUUGUUUUUUUUAAAGGUAUAAAUGAGUACCUGAGAGGUAUUGCGCAUAGAAGGGAUAACGGAGUCCGAGAAAGUCCGUGAUAACAAACCCUAUCAUCCUUGGCACUGAUAGGUACACUAAGGGGUAACAGAGCCCAAAAGGUCUGUGAAUUGAAGGGGUAACAGAGCCCAAAAGGUCUGUGAAUCGAAGGGGUAACAGAGCCCAAAAAGUCUGUGUAGAAAAAAAACAAAGUAGGAUAACGGCAUCCUGAUAAUAGGCCGUGUAAUUCGAGUAUAGGGCGGCAGAGUCCUACAAAACUAAUGUCUGCAUUGUGUGUUUGUGUGUUUUGUGUGUAUGACUGGAAAAUUAAAUACCACUCGGUAUUUUCUUUUCAUUUAAAAACAGUGGGAUUGUAAGUAACAAGCCUUUGUGGAGGUCUAGCAAGAAUUCUCCACUCGAAAGAGUUGAAGUGAGAAUUACCACAACAGGUAUUUUAUUGUUACCCCACGGUGUAAAACUCCCAGCCUAUAGAACACCCUAUGUGUUACAGGACUGGAUCAAAUUUAUAAAAAUGGGAAAGGAACAAAGGAAAACGUUGAAACAGCUCCAGAGUAAAGACUGGAAAUUCAUUGAACAGCAGGACCCUGAUAAAAUAAAACCUUUAGCUUCAUGGGUAAAAUAAUACAAUGCAGGUUUAAGGGGUGAUUUAACAAACAAAAAUAGCUAAAAUUCCAGGAAGGUAUUAUCAAUAAAUGAAGAGAUUUAAAAGGGGAUCCCACAGAAACAAUUUGGGAGUCUUUGAAAAUACAGCGGUUAGUCAAGGAGGUAUUUAAAGUACCGUAGAAAAAAGAAAAGAAAAACAAAGUGUCGCAGAAGACUCUUUUCGCGCAAGCUGUCUGUCUGAUAUGUUUUUGUUUUUGUUAUAUCUUGUCCAAUGUAAUGUGUCGUUUAAUGGGAUCAUUGUAUGAAAGGAGAGAAUGUUUGAACCCACAGCGCUUGAGAGUGUGUGUGCGCGCGAGUGGGUCUGUGUGUGUAAAUCUGCGUAUAUGUGUGUGCAUAUAUGUGUGUGCGUAUGUUUGGCUCAGAAUAGCGUCUGAGUGGAGAGAUUUACAGUGGAAAAGUACUGUGUGGAGUUGAUCUGCAUGAAGGGAGAAUUUGGCCAGAAUAGUGGUAAAAAGUUAUUAUAGUUGAUAUUUGGCAGGGGAUUAAACAUUUCUUUGAGACAACUGAAAAAGAAAAAAGAAAAAUAUAUAUUUUUUUUGGUACAAGCAUAAUUUUAACUAGUGUCAUUUAUUGCAAAAUUGCAUAUUAAGAUUCCCAAAUGAGCUUUAAUACUUUGAGUAAU
This is a long non-coding RNA of Fundulus heteroclitus (mummichog), 1593 nucleotides long. RefSeq lists it as uncharacterized. NCBI's taxonomy places the organism in Eukaryota, Metazoa, Chordata, Actinopteri, Cyprinodontiformes, Fundulidae. The record is from RefSeq and is a predicted model, not a curated record. The transcript has 2 exons.